Molecule: ribosomal RNA, 611 nt
Filed under: uncultured bacterium
Lineage: Bacteria
Description: bacterial SSU rRNA
Rfam family: Bacterial small subunit ribosomal RNA (bases 1-523)
Source: RNAcentral
CCUACGGGAGGCAGCAGUGGGGAAUAUUGCACAAUGGGCGCAAGCCUGAUGCAGCAACGCCGCGUGAGGGACGACGGCCUUCGGGUUGUAAACCUCUUUUAGUAGGGAAGAAGCGAAAGUGACGGUACCUGCAGAAAAAGCACCGGCUAACUACGUGCCAGCAGCCGCGGUAAUACGUAGGGUGCAAGCGUUAUCCGGAAUUAUUGGGCGUAAAGAGCUCGUAGGCGGUUUGUCGCGUCUGCUGUGAAAACUGGAGGCUCAACCUCCAGCCUGCAGUGGGUACGGGCAGACUAGAGUGCGGUAGGGGAGAUUGGAAUUCCUGGUGUAGCGGUGGAAUGCGCAGAUAUCAGGAGGAACACCGAUGGCGAAGGCAGAUCUCUGGGCCGUAACUGACGCUGAGGAGCGAAAGCAUGGGGAGCGAACAGGAUUAGAUACCCUGGUAGUCCAUGCCGUAAACGUUGGGAACUAGAUGUAGGGACCAUUCCACGGUUUCUGUGUCGCNGCUACGCAUACGUUACCCGUCCGUCGGGAGGUACGGCCGCGACGACGUAAACUACAAUAGAAGUUAGACGGCGUGAGACGUGCCGACGGACGACGACGAGGGAGGUAGG